Hemibagrus wyckioides is the source of this 471-nucleotide non-coding RNA. NCBI's taxonomy places the organism in Eukaryota, Metazoa, Chordata, Actinopteri, Siluriformes, Bagridae. The record is from the annotation of a RefSeq genome assembly.
AUGAAGAUCCCACUCUCCUCAUUCCUGCUACUUAUCAGCCUCAUUGGUAUUCAGUGUCAAAGUCUUGAAUCUAUUCCCACUGGUUCAGUAAUAAAAAAACCUGGAGAAACUCUGAGUCUUUCCUGUAAAGGAUCUGGGUUUAACUUUGGUGGCUAUGGCAUGAACUGGAUCAGACAACAAACUGGAAAAGCUCUGGAAUGGAUUGGGGCUAUCUGGUAUGAUGCCAGUAAAACUAUAUAUGACAAACACGUUGAGGGACAUUUGGAAAUUACCAGAGACAACUCCAAAAACAUGGUGUAUCUGCAGCUGACUGGUUUGAGUACACAGGACUCUGCUGUGUAUUACUGUGCUAGACACCACAGUGGUACAAACAUCUUAAUCAGCCGUCCAAAAUCCUCCCACAGAUGUGGUGAAAGAGAAAAGUGCAUUCAAUAUACAGGGCAUUUUCACAAGAUCAGCAGGUGGCGCUAG